GGUGUCUUAUGUGAAUUUGUGUGUUUUAAAAUAUGUCUAAUAUAGAUGAGUGUUUAAAAUGUGGUGUUGUGUUUAAAAUGUAGGGUUGUGUUUAAAAUGCGGGUUUGUGUAUUUAAAGUGUGUAUGUGAAAAAAUGCCGUAGUGCAAAAGCAAAAUGGCCGCGAAGAAGCAGCUUUAUCUUGCAAAGUGCAUCCGGAAACAAAACAGUUGUUUUUCCACCGGCUGAUCCUACGCUCCAUCAUGCACGACCCUCCAAGGUUUGGGAUCUGGAGUAACUCGCCAACUCUGGAACACACCUUCGAUGGAUCGCCUCCAACAUCGGAAAGGUAAGACGGGUACUAACAGCAUCCAAACGAAACAAAUCUAGCUCGAGAUAGUUUGAAGUUCGAGACACAAGUUAGUGGCGACUCGCAACGAUGUGUAGCUCAUAAAUUACCCACCAGAAGUCACAGCCACCGGUGCAAUGUAUUGAGAGGUGGGUUUUUAUUUUCAAAACACCUCAGCAUUCUAGCCGAUCUAGAAAUACAAAAUGUCUCCAGACGGAAGGAGUGUAGAGAUCGUGCCCGGUUGAUUAGUCAAAGCACGGGCACGCAAUCGUGGUAGAAUGCUUUUAAUUAUUUCAUUAAUUAAAUGUUUCCCCGCGCGUAAAUGGUGAGGCUGUUCUUGCCAGCGAGAACGCUGCUCGGGUGGUCCAUCGAUCGUUGACGAGAUCCCGAGGAAACACCUCUACUGUGUGAGCGGGAGUUGCAUUUUAACAGCCAAAAACCUUGAGGUUUGCGAUGCGACGCACUAAAACCAACAUUCGGUUAGCUUCUGAACACGCUGGCUGUUGGGUGGGUGGGCUUUUAUGUGGCUGGUGGGAUGUUGGUGUGUUUGUUAAACCGUGCGAUCACAAUCACAAAAACAGCCACGGUACCAUAAUUCCAAGCCAUAACUCGAUGUAAUUGAAGAUUGUCCACUCGAAAGAUCGGAUCGAAACCGAAACGAGCUUACUUUACGAGCUUUCACUUUAUAUCCGUUUGUGGGGAAGCAAAAAAAAUUGCAUCUCGUUAGGGGUUAGGGUAGCUUGGGUAAUAAAUUCUCGAAUUCUUCAGCAUACCGGCGAUUCAUGAUAAUUGCCAUAUUUAUGAUGAUUCGACAAUAAUCGUCCCGGUUCUUUGUUGCAGUUUUUUUUUGUUCUGCUCACAGCAUUAAUUUGACUCCUGCUGAGGUCCGGUCGUCGACCGAAUAAGGCACAAAUAAGUGUUCAAAUUUCAGCACCAUCACAAGCAGACAUACGGUGGAAGAUGCAUUCAUUUCUUUCAAAGUAUCUCACGAUCAGCGUUCUGCAUGCAGGCACACAGGUUUGUUGGAGGUUUUCGUCUAAAGUAAAGUUCAACUUUAAUUCUUCCCACCGAUGAGGUCGAUAUGUACAAUAAUUAAUGACAUCGGUUGUUAUGAUGUGUGGUGUGCAUGCCUCCGGAAUAUCUGGUGCGUUGAUUGAGUCGGGAUCGUGUGUGACAUCAGCUUCCACCAACAAGAUCAGUAACAAAAAAAUUCUCGCGUAGGAUUUCAACCAGAAUCUCUCCGUUUCACCAGAAGCCAAAGUACCAACAACAUCCAUUAGUGCGGCAACUGUGUCACGUAAUGAUGGCCCCAUCUGGGAUUUCUAUUUGAGUUUAGAUUUUCAACCUACUCGUUCCAAUACUCUGCCUGAGGGAGGCACAUUGUCAAAGCCGAAGCCAUCAUUAAUGCGACACGUUCACUUCACCGUUCUAAAUAAUCACACCACAAACCAACCUGUGGAGUCAUUUUUCAUCGCUACAAAAUCCAUCAAUUCCACGCCUAAAGGUUCUAUGGAUAAGAAACUAAAAAUAAAAAAGGAAACAGAUCCCAAUCGAUCAGAAUGUUGCUGUGGGGCACAAGCAUACAUCGUUGAGAGAUUGUUUUUAAUUUUAAUUACAGAUUUGAUACUCAUGAUGAGUACCACGUGGAGGAGAACUUCCUGGAAGAAGUGAUCAAUUUCAUAUGCUCUUAUCAAAACGCUCUACAUGACAUAUUCCAAUGAAAUUCAAUUAAAGUUACAGUUGAUACAUAGUUGCAUUAGUAGUGCCGUAAAAUUUGUGAGUUUGAAUUGAGCGCAUCUUCAUACGUUAUCCUCAGAGUAUCGGCUUUCCUGUUAUCCAUUCGUCCCAUUCUUUGAUUUCAUUAAGCUCGUUUUUCGGCCCUGAUUCAUUCACAUUCACCAUUGCGAGGCCAUUGCAAAACUUCCAUUCCGAUGACCGUUUCCUUGUGUUACCUCGUUUUUCCAUGCAAAACACACACACAGAUGUCGGUCGAAUGUUUGUGCUUAAAGUGGGAUGAAAUAUUUAAAUGCAAGCAUUUUAUUUUAAUAAUUAAUCAUGUUCCAUUAAUUUUCGGGUGACUGUGCUGGGCGCAAUGGCGCACUGCCUGCCUGUCAGUUCGGUCGGUGCCGAUGGUGGUCCUGUCUCAAUGUUUGGUGGCUUGUGUGGUGUGUUUGGCAUGGAAUUAAUGCUGUGACGCUGCUAUUUCCUCUUUAUCUCUCUCUCAGUUUGUGUCGGCGGUGAUAGUUUGGAGGAAAUAUUUUUGUUCGCAUUCUCAUUCAAAAUUGGAAAGGAUUGCUACAGGCAAAAGCAAGCGCUUUUGCGCUUAUUUCGUCGAAAGAAUUUUGUUUGAAAUCAGAAAUUGAAAUACCAAAUGUUAAUGUAGAAAUUUUGUGUAUUUAUUUUGCUGUUUGAAAAUAGUUCAUUAAUUUAAAUUUAUUAAAUUAAAUAAUUCUAAACACAGCUUUAUUAGGAGCUCCAAAAUGUGGAGGAGUUCCGGAUAGCAUUUUGUAUACUCAUAAUGUUCUACAUAUUAUGCUAAUUAAAUGCAUACGGAGGCCAUUUGAAUCGGGACCAACUAUCAUUCGAGGAACAGAACUGCAUGCCCUUGCCCUUUUCAGCGCUUAAGAGCAUACGAAAGGUGAAAACGUGUGCUCGAGUACCACUAGGCGGUGAGUGGUAGUUAGGCUAUAGUUGGUCGUUACCCAGAGAGCGAAACUGCGAAACACAUCGUGAAACAUGGACACUGUCAAAUCUAAUAAGCACCAUCAGCUAUCAGUACGGAAUGGGAGGAAAAACAGAGGAAAAAAGGGGGAAAAGCAAAGGCAUACAAAUGUACAUUUUUAAGGUGAGCAGCGCUUCUAGACAAGAGUGGUAACAAGCUCAUGAAUAGUGUGCUUUACCUUGCCUGCUGCCUUCGCGAG
This is a long non-coding RNA of Anopheles funestus (African malaria mosquito), 3247 nucleotides long. RefSeq lists it as uncharacterized. The record is from RefSeq and is a predicted model, not a curated record. The transcript has 3 exons. Lineage: Eukaryota; Metazoa; Arthropoda; Insecta; Diptera; Culicidae.